GACGAACGCUGGCGGCGUGCUUAACACAUGCAAGUCGAACGGAAAGGCCCUGCUUUUGUGGGGUGCUCGAGUUGCGAACUGGUGAGUAACACUUGAGUAACCUGCCCUUGCCUUUGGGAUAACUUCAUGAAACUUGGGCUAAUACCGGAUAGGAGCUCCUGCUGCAUGGUGGGGGUUGGAAAGUUUCGGUGGUUGGGGAUGGACUCGCGGCUUAUCAGCUUGUUGGUGGGGUAGUGGCUUACCAAGGCUUUGACGGGUAGCCGGCCUGAGAGGGUGACCGGCCAAAUUGGGACUGAGAUACGGCACAGACUACUACGGGAGGCAGCAGUGGGGAAGAUUACACAAUGGGAGGGAGCAUGAUGCAGCAAAGCAGCGUGCGGGAUGACGGGAUUGGGGUUGUAAACCGAUUUCGCCUGUGACGAAGCGUGAGUGACGGUAAUGGGUAAAGAAGCACCGGCUAACUACGUG
RNAcentral lists this ribosomal RNA (468 nucleotides) under uncultured bacterium. RNAcentral describes it as "partial 16S ribosomal RNA". It matches the Rfam family "Bacterial small subunit ribosomal RNA", at positions 28 to 507 of the family's 1533-position model. The record is from RNAcentral.